RNAcentral lists this non-coding RNA (1441 nucleotides) under Cryptosporidium parvum. The record is from RNAcentral. Lineage: Eukaryota; Apicomplexa; Conoidasida; Eucoccidiorida; Cryptosporidiidae.
AUUAAUAUAUGUCUUUUGAAGCAUUUUACAAUGGUGUUUAGAAGCAUCUAAAUUUGUAUAAACUAAAAUAUCAACAAUAAACCCCCGCCAGCGAAAAUCAAUUAGCUAGCGGAACAAUUUAAACAUCUUAAAGUGAGGUGACAGGAUACUUCUAUAACUUGGCUUUAAAAAUAAUGAAGACAAUGAUUCGACAGGCAUUCAAUGUAUUUCACUUACUAUUGUUGCAAUACAUGUAGGAAUACUUUCUGGCAACUCUACCCAAAGUUUAUGGAUUACUUUCCUUGCUUUAAGAUCAGAUGAAACAUUCCUUAAAGUUUUUUCAUCCGGGCAAUUAAGAACAACUUUUCUCAUUUGGUUAAUUUCUUUAAGAUAUUCUUUGACAGAGUCUUCUCCUAAAUUUUCAAAAAUAGCUGCGGAACUAAGUAAAAUUAAAUGUAUUUAAGGACAAAAUAUAAAUUCUGUAAUAUAUAACUAACCUUGCAUGACAAGCCUGAGCAAUAAUUGAACCGGUACUCCAUCCAAGAUCUGAACGAACUAGAAUAUAUUGAAUGAUUUGUUCUUUCUGAUCCAUUUAUUUAACUGAAUUUAUUUAAUAUCGAACACCUCCCGCUCAACCAAAACAAAAAUUUUGAUAUAUUACAAGACUAUUUGAUAAAUAGUCACAAAUUUUUCUAUAUGAGGAAUAUAUCUUACAAAAUAUAUGAUUUCUUUCAUUAUUCCUUUAUAUUAGUCAAUAUUUCGUGGCAUAUCAAAAUAAUUGAAUUUAUGAUGCAAGGCAUUCGCCACAAAAUUGAUGAUCAUGAAUCUGCUGAUUAUCAUUUUUAACAUAGAGUUGGUUACACUCUGAAUGCUGGCUAUUGCAACAUUUAUGAGUAUGAAUUUCUCUUGGUACAUGGCAGUUUACUUGCUGAUUUUGUAAAUGCUGAUGUUGGAUAUACGACUGCGGAGGAACAUAUUGCUGGUUAGUGUCAUUCGCAUUUAUAAAAAUAUUUGAUUGAAAUUCAUUAAUUGCCUUUUCUUGAUCUGAAAUUUAUAAAAAAAUCAAGAUAAUUUACGUAAAAAAUAAACCAAGAAAUCAUUAAUCAAAAUUGUGUUACUUUACAACUUACCUAUGAAUGACUUAGCUUUGGGUGUAAAUCUAUGCGAGGUUCUAAGAAGCGUCCACAUCAGUAUGAAAACUGCAACGAACAAAAAAAUGGCUAAGGUAACAAUAACUGGGACGAUCCAGGGGGCCAACAUAUUUGUUUUAAUUAGCACGAAUCCUUCUCUGUUUCCUUCUAGUUACAAUUGAUCAAAGGAUUACGUUGGGUAGACAUAACGUAUUUCUGACUUUAUGUGAUUUAGAGAUUUAAAAAGGGGAUAAAUACUUAUGGAAUAAAUGGAAAUUAAUGGCAAAAAUUUGUGUGAUAUUACUAAUAAUUGUAAUGUACUAAUAGAAUUU